This 246-nucleotide ribosomal RNA is filed under the name uncultured Lactobacillus sp. Its description in RNAcentral is "partial 16S ribosomal RNA". It matches the Rfam family "Bacterial small subunit ribosomal RNA", at positions 116 to 356 of the family's 1533-position model. Lineage: Bacteria; Bacillati; Bacillota; Bacilli; Lactobacillales; Lactobacillaceae. The record is from RNAcentral.
CGUGGGGAACCUGCCCCAUAGUCUGGGAUACCACUUGGAAACAGGUGCUAAUACCGGAUAAGAAAGCAGAUCGCAUGAUCAGCUUUUAAAAGGCGGCGUAAGCUGUCGCUAUGGGAUGGCCCCGCGGUGCAUUAGCUAGUUGGUAAGGUAAAGGCUUACCAAGGCGAUGAUGCAUAGCCGAGUUGAGAGACUGAUCGGCCACAUUGGGACUGAGACACGGCCCAAACUCCACGGGAGGCAGCAGUG